This 209-nucleotide unclassified non-coding RNA is filed under the name soil metagenome. RNAcentral describes it as "partial internal transcribed spacer 1". The record is from RNAcentral.
AUGAAUUUUGGAGUUCUACUGUGCCUGCCGUUCAUUCGGAUGUGUGCACGUAGUCUCUAUAAAUCCUUAUCAACACCUGUGCACCUUUAAAAAGGGGGGAGUCUGAUUAAGCAUUUUUAUGAUGCUUAUGACGAAUAACCUCUUUUCUUAUACAAACUCUUUUAAUGUCUAUUAGAAUGUUCUCUGGCCGCAAGGCUAUAAAAUAUAAA